UGUCAGGCCAAGGAAGUGACAUGUAGUGCCGUGCCUGGGACAGCCUGACUGUCCUAGUCCCAGCUCAGCUGCACAGAUGGCGGUUUGGGGGUGAGGACAAAGCAUUAAGUGGAGAAACAGCUGCCCCUACUCGUGCUCUGAGAUCAGCUGGGAGCCAUUUACAAGAUGUAACCCCACCUGCUCUUACUGCACUGGAUUGGACCAAGCGUGGUCUCCUGAUUUAAUCAAGACCAACUGCAGAGACCACUGGGGUGUUUUUGAGAGUGAUUGGGAGACAAAGCCGUGUGACCUGAGAUGCGUAGAAAACGUCUCCAGGACAAGAUGAGUGUCGAAGACUGGGAGGCAGAAAGUCGGGGUCUGCAGGCUCUCCAGUCAUUUCCGAGAUCCACUGCAUCUUCAGUUCGGAAGGACCCGGAUCUUGCAGGCUGUUGGGCCGGGCUCUGCCUCCAGGAUGCUUUUCUUCUGCAUUUCACUGAGCACCUCCGGGAUCACAAACUGCGGGGAUGCACCGAGGACUGGGUGAGAAUGCACGCUGCCUGAGCGCCGUGCCCCAGACCCAGGCCGGGCCUCCUGUGGCCAGGACCAAGUGUUCCCUGAGCCUUCACCCGAGAAAGCAGAUCUGUGUUCUCAGCCCCGCCACCUGCCACCUUCCUGCUGCUUCCAAAUACACUCGCUUGGCUGGUA
Non-coding RNA from Macaca mulatta (Rhesus monkey), 684 nucleotides. The record is from RefSeq and is a predicted model, not a curated record. Lineage: Eukaryota; Metazoa; Chordata; Mammalia; Primates; Cercopithecidae.